Molecule: small nucleolar RNA, 89 nt
Organism: Mercurialis annua (annual mercury)
Lineage: Eukaryota; Viridiplantae; Streptophyta; Magnoliopsida; Malpighiales; Euphorbiaceae
Product: small nucleolar RNA U83
Exons: 1
Source: RefSeq, a predicted model, not a curated record
AGUCUGUGAUGAAGAAAUGGUGUAAUUGUCACUUAAAUAUGAUUAAUCUGUGAUUACAUAUUUACCACUACUGCCUUCCUUCUGAGCCU